Molecule: ribosomal RNA, 467 nt
Filed under: uncultured bacterium
Lineage: Bacteria
Description: partial 16S ribosomal RNA
Rfam family: Bacterial small subunit ribosomal RNA
Source: RNAcentral
ACGCACGCUGGCGGCGUGCUUAACCCCUGCCAGUCGAACGGAAAGGCCCUGCUUUUGUGGGGUGCUCGAGUGGCGAACGGGUGAGUAACACGUGAGUAACCUGCCCUUGACUUUGGGAUAACUUCAGGAAACUGGGGCUAAUACCGGAUAGGAGCUCCUGCUGCAUGGUGGGGGUUGGAAAGUUUCGGCGGUUGGGGAUGGACUCGCGGCUUAUCAGCUUGUUGGUGGGGUAGUGGCUUACCAAGGCUUUGACGGGUAGCCGGCCUGAGAGGGUGACCGGCCACAUUGGGACUGAGAUACGGCCCAGACUCCUACGGGAGGCAGCAGUGGGGAAUAUUGCACAAUGGGCGGAAGCCUGAUGCAGCAACGCCGCGUGCGGGAUGACGGCCUUCGGGUUGUAAACCGCUUUCGCCUGUGACGAAGCGUGAGUGACGGUAAUGGGUAAAGAAGCACCGGCUAACUACGUG